Molecule: transfer-messenger RNA, 354 nt
Filed under: Coriobacteriales bacterium
Lineage: Bacteria; Bacillati; Actinomycetota; Coriobacteriia; Coriobacteriales
Rfam family: transfer-messenger RNA
About the family: Bacterial tmRNA, also known as 10Sa RNA or SsrA, is named for its dual tRNA and mRNA-like properties. Its role is to liberate the mRNA from a stalled ribosome.
Source: RNAcentral
GGGGGCGACUGGUUUCGACAUGAUAGUUCUGAAAGAGGCAGCAUGCGGUGGUCUCCUCGCCACCUUAAACAGGGGUACCGUCAAAAUUAAUUGACAAUCGUAGCUAUGCCCUCGCCGCCUAAACAAAGGCUGCGACGUUUCGUUGGGAUACAUCCCCGCUCCCGAUAGAGACGCCACUCAGGGGAAUGCUCCUGCGCACGUAGCCGGUAUGGCGUAGGAAAAGACUGAACCGACUGGCAAAGGGCACAUCUGUCUGAUGGGGUGCCCGGCGCGAGACUUUCCGUCAGACUGAGCAUGGAGAUACCGCUUGAAGAGCUGUUAUGGACCGGAGUUCGAUUCUCCGCGCCUCCACCA